RNAcentral lists this ribosomal RNA (417 nucleotides) under uncultured archaeon. RNAcentral describes it as "partial 16S ribosomal RNA". It matches the Rfam family "Archaeal small subunit ribosomal RNA", at positions 323 to 746 of the family's 1478-position model. The record is from RNAcentral.
CUACGGGGCGCUGCAGCUACGAAACCUCCACAAUGCACGAAAGUGUGAUAGGGGAACUCCAAGUAUCUUCUAUGAAGAUUUUUAUUAUGUUUAGAACGCAUAGUGAAUAAGAGGUGGGCAAGACUGGUGCCAGCCGCCGCGGUAACACCAGCGCCUCAAGUCGCAUCCGCGUUUAUUGGGUCUAAAGCAUCCGUAGCCUGUUUUUUAAGUCCUUUGUCAAAUUUAUCAGCUUAACUGAUAAUCUGCGAAGGAUACUGGAAAUCUCGGGACCGGUAGGAGUCAGGAGUAUUCUAGGUGGAGCGGUAAAAUGUGAAAAUCCCUAGAGGACUAUCUGUGGCGAAGGCGCCUGACUAGGACGGGUCCGACGGUGAGGGAUGAAAGUUAGGGGAGCGAAAGGGAUUAGAUACCCGUGUAGUC